Macadamia integrifolia is the source of this 107-nucleotide small nucleolar RNA. The record is from RefSeq and is a predicted model, not a curated record. Lineage: Eukaryota; Viridiplantae; Streptophyta; Magnoliopsida; Proteales; Proteaceae.
AGGCCAUGAUGAGGGCUUUCUUAGAGUAGAUGCUUGAAUCUCUCUAUAAGUUUGGAAAAUGACUCACUAAAAUUUUACGAAAACUGAAGGAUAUCACUUCUAAGCUU